Molecule: long non-coding RNA, 1496 nt
Organism: Chlorocebus sabaeus (green monkey)
Lineage: Eukaryota; Metazoa; Chordata; Mammalia; Primates; Cercopithecidae
Source: RefSeq, a predicted model, not a curated record
UUAGAGGAUUGGUGACAUAAGCAUGUAAGAUAGGUUUUUUUCUUGUUUUGUCCUGUGUUUUGUUUCUGAUGGUGUUUUGUUUCUAAUGCUGGACAGAGACCAUGUCAAAGUCCUCUGGAGAUAAAACUCCAUCUCUUCCACUGUCCCUGGCAAAGAAUUGUGAGUCUGCUCUUCAGGAUUUAUGCCACUCAGCAGCAUUUGGAGAAUAUGGCAAUGUUAGUCCUAAUGGACUCCUCUUAAAACAUUUUGGGUUAUGUGCCUCUGGUAUUGAGUUUAUUAUGAGAUUCUUGAUUCCUGGUUUCAAUACUGGACCAAACACUCUAGGCAUCUAUUAUUUGGAAGAAUAUAAACAUUUUGUUAUGAUGAAUUGCCAGCUGAGGAAUUGACAGCACCCUUUUCAAUCCGUUGUGAACAUAUUCACUGGUUGAUCCAAUAUGAGCAUGAUUGGAAACUAGAUGGCUUUUCUUUGACGGUCUCCAACUGGGAAAACUAUCUUUUUAUUGAAUUGGUCCACAGAUCUCUGAUGACAUAGAAAAACAUGCACUGCCUCAGUUGGGAUUAGAGGAUCUGAGCAGUGGCUGGCCACUCCAAUCACCAUGCCGUGCUGCCUUCUCCCCAGCCCCAUCUCACCAGAUCGUAUGGUCACAGCAGAAGGGAGAUUAUGUGCCCACAAUAGAAUGGAGCUGAGUUCUGCUGCAGGAAGUAGAUUGCGCUAAGGAUUUGCAGCUAGAUCAAAAGGUUACCCACAGUGUUGACCUACGAGUGUAAGGCAUGUGUAAUGGGAUGAAGGAAGGUUCGGUGAGAUGCUGAAAUGAGAUACAGAAUACAAUGAUCAUAUUCAGGCUGCACUUAAGUGCCCAGUAUCCAGCAGAAAACAAAAUAGAGAAAUCAAAGGCAAAAGCCUUUCCCUCUGUUGUGGCCAUUUGCAGACGGCGGAUGGACUACCAGUCAAAUUUUGAUUCGGAGAUAGAGACUAAUGAUAACAUACAUGCGGCAGAAAGGUAUGAAAAUUUUGUUAUUCACAUAAAGAGACUUUCUGGGAACAGUGGGGAGGCACCCAAGCAGGUCCAAAAAUGACAUGAAAAAAACAGGAAUGGGGACUGGCUCAGGUUUCUUCUGGUAGAGAGUGUGUGGAGCUGGGAUACUGAUCCCCAUGCUUGUGCAGGUGCUUGUGUGAUUUGAAGCUCCCAUCAGCACCACAGGAGGGAGCACCCAGGCUUUCUUAUCAGCUUGCCUACACAUGGAGCAGAAGGAGAAGAGAGAGGGUCAGCAAUAAAAUGUCAAAAAUGGCUUACAUUCUUUAAACAUUUUUAUUAGUUGUAGUAUAACACAUGCACAGUUAAGUAACAAAUGUUAAGCAUACAGCUUAUGAGUUUUUAGACCCAUGUAAACAUAAUCCGGAAAAGAUAUAGAAUGAUUCCAGCAGGCAUAACAUUCCCUUGUGUCCUCCCAUCCAGUCAAUUCUUGAAAUAAGCACUAUUCUGACUUCUAUCAUU